This 348-nucleotide RNase P RNA is filed under the name uncultured Prevotella sp. RNAcentral describes it as "Bacterial RNase P class A". It matches the Rfam family "Bacterial RNase P class A". Rfam says of the family: Ribonuclease P (RNase P) is a ubiquitous endoribonuclease, found in archaea, bacteria and eukarya as well as chloroplasts and mitochondria. Its best characterised activity is the generation of mature 5'-ends of tRNAs by cleaving the 5'-leader elements of precursor-tRNAs. The record is from RNAcentral. Lineage: Bacteria; Pseudomonadati; Bacteroidota; Bacteroidia; Bacteroidales; Prevotellaceae.
GGCUUGUCGCUGGCAUCUUAUGAUGCGAGAGGAAAGUCCGGGCAGCACAGGGCAUCCCACUUCAGAAAUUGAAGCUAUCAGAAACGGUAGGUGAGGUCAGAAGAGAACGACCGCCCGCUUCGGCGGGUAAGGGUGAGAAGGCGGUGUAAGAGACCACCGGCCGGCCGGGUGACCGACGGCGCUGUGACUACUGGGAGCUGCAAGUUCGCGUAUACCAUCGUCUGAGGGUAGCCCGCCCGACUCACUCCGAUGGAGGGUAGAACGCUUGAGCCGAGGGGUGACCCGAGGCCUAGACAAAUGACAGGCAUUGUGGUGCUCGCACCGCAACACAGAACCCGGCUUAUAGGA